UACGGAGGGUGCAAGCGUUAAUCGGAAUUACUGGGCGUAAAGCGCACGCAGGCGGUCUGUCAAGUCGGAUGUGAAAUCCCCGGGCUCAACCUGGGAACUGCAUUCGAAACUGGCAGGCUGGAGUCUCGUAGAGGGAGGUAGAAUUCCAGGUGUAGCGGUGAAAUGCGUAGAGAUCUGGAGGAAUACCGGUGGCGAAGGCGGCCUCCUGGACGAAGACUGACGCUCAGGUGCGAAAGUGCGGGUAUCGAAC
RNAcentral lists this ribosomal RNA (250 nucleotides) under uncultured bacterium. RNAcentral describes it as "partial 16S ribosomal RNA". It matches the Rfam family "Bacterial small subunit ribosomal RNA", at positions 524 to 773 of the family's 1533-position model. The record is from RNAcentral.